This is a long non-coding RNA of Gossypium arboreum, 929 nucleotides long. RefSeq lists it as uncharacterized. The record is from RefSeq and is a predicted model, not a curated record. Lineage: Eukaryota; Viridiplantae; Streptophyta; Magnoliopsida; Malvales; Malvaceae. The transcript is spliced from 2 exons.
UGAUGUUUAAUUAGUUAUAAAUGAGUGUUCUAAAGUUAGUGUGUGCAUCAACUGGUCGUUAGUUAGAAAGUCAUUUCGAUGGUUAAUGUAACGUUUCAAAUUUGAGCUUGUCCAUCCCGAUCGAGUUUGGGGUUUUACACUUCUAGGAAUAAGAUUACUCACGAGGCUGCAAGUGCAGGAGUAGUGGUUAGAAAUAACGAGGGACUGUUAUCAAGGUCGACGUGCUUUUGGAAGGAGCAAAUACCUUGUCCUCUAUCAGCGGAGGCCCUGGCUUUUGCGCAGGCUAUCCGCUUUGCCCGAGAUCUAGGCUUUCGCUGGGUUGAAACCGAAGGCAACUCUGCGGUGCUUCUCUAAGCUACGGAAUUCGGCCACUGAUCGUUUGCCCGAUAGCGCAUUUGUCUGGGACGCAAAAAGGCUGGUGGUGGGCUUUGAACGAUUUAAAUGUCAACAUAUUAAGUGGGGAGGCUAUGUGGUGGGUCACAUGUUGGAGUGCAAAGGCCAUAUUCGAAAGCGAGAUGUCUUUUGGAUGUCGGCUGUGGAUGUUGGUCGUCGGGGACAUCUUUGAUCUUGAAGGUGAGCUCUCGGAUGGAGUUUUUUCUGGCCAGAUCUAUAUUUCUCGAUGGCAGGUUGUUGUGGCUUCAUCAUGUUCGUUGCUUGGUGUCAGAUCCAGUCGAUGCUGCUGCUCUUAUCGGACAUGCAUGCGUAGCUGGGAAAGACAAUGACUCUUUAGCUACUUCUGUUCUCUGUUCCCUUUUUUUUUUCUUUUUUUUUGUGAUACUUUUAUGGCUCUUGGUUGUUUUGCUGGUUUGCUGGUUGUUAUUUUCUUUUGAUUUGUGGGGGAUGGGAUCGCAUUAAUGGGCGAAGCUCCCUAUGUGUUUUGUUUUGUCUCUUUAAAUUAAAGCACGCCUCUUUAUUCAAUAAAAAUAUAA